Molecule: ribosomal RNA, 472 nt
Filed under: uncultured bacterium
Lineage: Bacteria
Description: partial 16S ribosomal RNA
Rfam family: Bacterial small subunit ribosomal RNA
Source: RNAcentral
GACGAACGCUGGCGGCGUGCUUAACACAUGCAAGUCGAACGCUGAAGCUUGGUGCUUGCACUGGGUGGAUGAGUGGCGAACGGGUGAGUAAUACGUGAGUAACCUGCCCUUGACUCUGGGAUAAGCCUGGGAAACUGGGUCUAAUACUGGAUACGACAUGUCACCGCAUGGUGCUGUGUGGAAAGGGUUUUACUGGUUUUGGAUGGGCUCACGGCCUAUCAGCUUGUUGGUGGGGUAAUGGCUCACCAAGGCGACGACGGGUAGCCGGCCUGAGAGGGUGACCGGCCACACUGGGACUGAGAGACGGCCCAGACUCCUACGGGAGGCAGAAGGGGGGAAUAUUGCACAAUGGGCGGAAGCCUGAUGCAGCGACGCCGCGUGAGGGAUGACGGCCUUCGGGUUGUAAACCUCUUUCAGCACGGAAGAAGCGAAAGUGACGGUACGUGCAGAAGAAGCGCCGGCUAACUACGUG